GCGACGCCGCGUGGGGGAUGACGGCCUUCGGGUUGUAAACCUCUUUCGCAGGGACGAAGCCGUGAGGUGACGGUACCUGCAGAAGAAGCACCGGCCAACUACGUGCCAGCAGCCGCGGUAAUACGGGGGGGGCAAGCGUUGUUCGGAAUUACUGGGCGUAAAGGGCUCGUAGGCGGCCAACUAAGUCGGACGUGAAAUCCCCAGGCUCAACCUGGGAACUGCGUCCGAUACUGGAUGGCUUGAAUUCGGGAGAGGGAUGCAGAAUUCCAGGUGUAGCGGUGAAAUGCGUAGAUAUCUGGAGGAAUACCGGUGGCGAAGGCGGCAUCCUGGACCGACAUUGACGCUGAGGAGCGAAAGCUAGGGGAGCAAACGGGAUUAGAUACCCCGGUAGUCCUAGCCCUAAACGAUGAAUGCUUGGUGUGACGGGUAUCGAUCCCUGUCGUGCCGAAGCUAACGCAUUAAGCAUUCCGCCUGGGGAGUACGGUCGCAAGGCUGAAACUCAAAGGAAUUGA
This 512-nucleotide ribosomal RNA is filed under the name uncultured bacterium. RNAcentral's name for it is "bacterial SSU rRNA". It matches the Rfam family "Bacterial small subunit ribosomal RNA", at positions 391 to 913 of the family's 1533-position model. The record is from RNAcentral.